GAGGAAAAGAAACCAACAGGGAUUGCCUUAGUAGCGGCGAGUGAAGCGGCAAAAGCUCAAAUUUGAAAUCUGGCACUUUCAGUGUCCGAGUUGUAAUUUGAAGAAGGUAUCUUUGGGUCUGGCUCUUGUCUAUGUUUCUUGGAACAGAACGUCACAGAGGGUGAGAAUCCCGUGCGAUGAGAUGUCCCAGACCUAUGUAAAGUUCCUUCGAAGAGUCGAGUUGUUUGGGAAUGCAGCUCUAAGUGGGUGGUAAAUUCCAUCUAAAGCUAAAUAUUGGCGAGAGACCGAUAGCGAACAAGUACAGUGAUGGAAAGAUGAAAAGAACUUUGAAAAGAGAGUGAAAAAGUACGUGAAAUUGUUGAAAGGGAAGGGCUUGAGAUCAGACUUGGUAUUUUGUAUGUUACUCUCUCGGGGGUGGCCUCUACAGUUUACCGGGCCAGCAUCAGUUUGAGCGGUAGGAUAAGUGCAAAGAAAUGUGGCACUGCUUCGGUAGUGUGUUAUAGUCUUUGUCGAUACUGCCAGCUUAGACUGAGGACUGCGGCUUCGGCCUAGGAUGUUGGCAUAAUGAUCUUAAGUCGCCCGUCUUGAA
Molecule: ribosomal RNA, 589 nt
Filed under: Lodderomyces parapsilosis
Lineage: Eukaryota; Fungi; Ascomycota; Pichiomycetes; Serinales; Debaryomycetaceae
Description: eukaryotic LSU rRNA
Rfam family: Eukaryotic large subunit ribosomal RNA
Source: RNAcentral